GAUGAACGCUGGCGGCGUGCCUAAUACAUGCAAGUCGAGCGAACAGACGAGGAGCUUGCUCCUCUGACGUUAGCGGCGGACGGGUGAGUAACACGUGGAUAACCUACCUAUAAGACUGGGAUAACUUCGGGAAACCGGAGCUAAUACCGGAUAAUAUGUUGAAUCGCAUGGUUCAACAGUGAAAGACGGUCUUGCUGUCACUUAUAGAUGGAUCCGCGCCGCAUUAGCUAGUUGGUAAGGUAACGGCUUACCAAGGCAACGAUGCGUAGCCGACCUGAGAGGGUGAUCGGCCACACUGGAACUGAGACACGGUCCAGACUCCUACGGGAGGCAGCAGUAGGGAAUCUUCCGCAAUGGGCGAAAGCCUGACGGAGCAACGCCGCGUGAGUGAAGAAGGUCUUCGGAUCGUAAAACUCUGUUAUUAGGGAAGAUCAAAUGUGUAAGUAACUAUGCACGUCUUGACGGUACCUAAUCAGAAAGCCACGGCUAACUACGUG
RNAcentral lists this ribosomal RNA (497 nucleotides) under uncultured bacterium. Its description in RNAcentral is "partial 16S ribosomal RNA". It matches the Rfam family "Bacterial small subunit ribosomal RNA", at positions 28 to 507 of the family's 1533-position model. The record is from RNAcentral.